AUUGAUUUUAUGCUUGCAUAAAUGAUUUUUUGGAUUCGGAGCGAGUGGCGAACUGGUGAGUAACACGUGGGUAACCUGCCCCGAAGCGGGGGAUAACAUUUGGAAACAAGUGCUAAUACCGCAUAAUUAGUUGGAACCGCAUGGUUCCAACUUGAAAGAUGGCUCUGCUAUCACUUUGGGAUGGACCCGCGCCGUAUUAGUUAGUUGGUGAGAUAAAAGCCCACCAAGACGAUGAUACGUAGCCGACCUGAGAGGGUAAUCGGCCACAUUGGGACUGAGACACGGCCCAGACUCCUACGGGAGGCAGCAGUAGGGAAUCUUCCACAAUGGACGAAAGUCUGAUGGAGCAACGCCGCGUGAGUGAUGAAGGUUUUCGGAUCGUAAAACUCUGUUGUUAAAGAAGAACAAGUGUUAGAGUAACUGUUAACACUUUGACGGUAUUUAACCAGAAAGCCACGGCUAACUACGUGCCAGCAGCCGCGGUAAUACGUAGGUGGCAAGCGUUGUCCGGAUUUAUUGGGCGUAAAGCGAGCGCAGGCGGUUUUGUAAGUCUGCUGUGAAAGCUCUCAGCUCAACUGAGGAAGUGCAGUGGAAACUACAAAACUUGAGUACAGAAGAGGAAAGUGGAACUCCAUGUGUAGCGGUGAAAUGCGUAGAUAUAUGGAAGAACACCAGUGGCGAAGGCGGCUUUCUGGUCUGUUACUGACGCUGAGGCUCGAAAGCAUGGGUAGCGAACAGGAUUAGAUACCCUGGUAGUCCAUGCCGUAAACGAUGAAUACUAGGUGUUGGAGGGUUUCCGCCCUUCAGUGCCGCAGCUAACGCAUUAAGUAUUCCGCCUGGGGAGUACGACCGCAAGGUUGAAACUCAAAGGAAUUGACGGGGGCCCGCCCAAGUGGUGGAGCAUGUGGUUUAAUUCGAUGCUACGCGAAGAACCUUACCAGCUCUUGACAUCUUCUGCCAACCCAAGAGAUUGGGCGUUCCCUUCGGGGACAGAAUGACAGGUGGUGCAUGGUUGUCGUCAGCUCGUGUCGUGAGAUGUUGGGUUAAGUCCCGCAACGGGCGCAACCCUUAUUAUUAGUUGCCAGCAUUCAGUUGGGCACUCUAGUGAGACUGCCGGUGAUAAA
This 1124-nucleotide ribosomal RNA is filed under the name uncultured bacterium. RNAcentral describes it as "bacterial SSU rRNA". It matches the Rfam family "Bacterial small subunit ribosomal RNA", at positions 47 to 1162 of the family's 1533-position model. The record is from RNAcentral.